This 176-nucleotide ribosomal RNA is filed under the name Salmonella enterica subsp. enterica serovar Infantis. RNAcentral describes it as "partial 16S ribosomal RNA". It matches the Rfam family "Bacterial small subunit ribosomal RNA", at positions 1 to 172 of the family's 1533-position model. RNAcentral also lists the same sequence under 5 other names. Lineage: Bacteria; Pseudomonadati; Pseudomonadota; Gammaproteobacteria; Enterobacterales; Enterobacteriaceae. The record is from RNAcentral.
AAAUUGAAGAGUUUGAUCAUGGCUCAGAUUGAACGCUGGCGGCAGGCCUAACACAUGCAAGUCGAACGGUAGCACAGAGAGCUUGCUCUCGGGUGACGAGUGGCGGACGGGUGAGUAAUGUCUGGGAAACUGCCUGAUGGAGGGGGAUAACUACUGGAAACGGUGGCUAAUACCGC